GCCGAGGUGGUGAAAUUGGCAGACACGCCAUCUUGAGGGGGUGGUGAGCGUAAGCUCUUGGGGGUUCAAAUCCCCCCCUCGGCACCA
This 87-nucleotide transfer RNA is filed under the name Dehalococcoidales bacterium. RNAcentral describes it as "tRNA-Leu". It matches the Rfam family "tRNA". Rfam says of the family: Transfer RNA (tRNA) molecules are approximately 80 nucleotides in length. Their secondary structure includes four short double-helical elements and three loops (D, anti-codon, and T loops). Further hydrogen bonds mediate the characteristic L-shaped molecular structure. tRNAs have two regions of fundamental functional importance: the anti-codon, which is responsible for specific mRNA codon recognition, and the 3' end, to which the tRNAs corresponding amino acid is attached (by aminoacyl-tRNA synthetases). tRNAs cope with the degeneracy of the genetic code in two manners: having more than one tRNA (with a specific anti-codon) for a particular amino acid; and 'wobble' base-pairing, i.e. permitting non-standard base-pairing at the 3rd anti-codon position. The record is from RNAcentral. Lineage: Bacteria; Bacillati; Chloroflexota; Dehalococcoidia; Dehalococcoidales.